CUCCGUGUGGCGCAGCUGGCAGCGCGCGUGAUGGCAGCGCGCGUGUUUCGGGAACACGAGGCCGCGGGUUCGAGACCUGCCACCGAGACCA
Molecule: transfer RNA, 91 nt
Filed under: Betaproteobacteria bacterium
Lineage: Bacteria; Pseudomonadati; Pseudomonadota; Betaproteobacteria
Description: tRNA-Pro
Source: RNAcentral